Molecule: ribosomal RNA, 496 nt
Filed under: uncultured bacterium
Lineage: Bacteria
Description: bacterial SSU rRNA
Rfam family: Bacterial small subunit ribosomal RNA
Source: RNAcentral
GACGCUGGCGGCGUGCCUAACACAUGCAAGUCGAGCGAGGAGAUCCUUCGGGAUGAUCCUAGCGGCGGACGGGUGAGUAACACGUGGGCAACCUGCCUCAUAGAGAGGAAUAGCCUUCCGAAAGGGAGAUUAAUACCUCAUAACAUUGCAGUUUCGCAUGGAACAGCAAUUUAAAGGAGUAAUCCGCUAUGAGAUGGGCCCGCGACGCAUUAGCUAGUUGGUGAGGUAACGGCUCACCAAGGCGACGAUGCGUAGCCGACCUGAGAGGGUGAUCGGCCACAUUGGGACUGAGACACGGCCCAAACUCCUACGGGAGGCAGCAGUAGGGAAUCUUCCGCAAUGGACGAAAGUCUGACGGAGCAACGCCGCGUGAGUGAAGAAAGGUUUUCGGAUCGUAAAACUCUGUUGUCAGAGAAGAACAAGUUGGAGAGUAACUGCUCCAGCCUUUGACGGUAUCUGACCAGAAAGCCACGGCUAACUACGUGCCAGCCGCAGC